UGGGGAAUAUUGGACAAUGGGCGAAAGCCUGAUCCAGCCAUGCCGCGUGUGUGAAGAAGGUCUUCGGAUUGUAAAGCACUUUAAGUUGGGAGGAAGGGCAGUAAGCGAAUACCUUGCUGUUUUGACGUUACCGACAGAAUAAGCACCGGCUAACUCUGUGCCAGCAGCCGCGGUAAUACAGAGGGUGCAAGCGUUAAUCGGAAUUACUGGGCGUAAAGCGCGCGUAGGUGGUUCGUUAAGUUGAAUGUGAAAGCCCCGGGCUCAACCUGGGAACUGCAUCCAAUACUGGCGAGCUAGAGUAGAGCAGAGGGUGGUGGAAUUUCCUGUGUAGCGGUGAAAUGCGUAGAUAUAGGAAGGAACACCAGUGGCGAAGGCGACCACCUGGGCUCAUACUGACACUGAGGUGCGAAAACGUGGGGAGCAAACAGG
This 429-nucleotide ribosomal RNA is filed under the name Pseudomonadota bacterium. RNAcentral describes it as "Proteobacteria bacterium partial 16S ribosomal RNA". It matches the Rfam family "Bacterial small subunit ribosomal RNA", at positions 355 to 776 of the family's 1533-position model. The record is from RNAcentral. Lineage: Bacteria; Pseudomonadati; Pseudomonadota.